This 465-nucleotide ribosomal RNA is filed under the name uncultured bacterium. RNAcentral describes it as "partial 16S ribosomal RNA". It matches the Rfam family "Bacterial small subunit ribosomal RNA", at positions 339 to 795 of the family's 1533-position model. The record is from RNAcentral.
CUACGGGAUGCACCAGUGAGGAAUAUUGCGCAAUGGGGGAAACCCUGACGCAGCGACGCCGCGUGGAUGAUGAAGGCCUUCGGGUCGUAAAAUCCUGUCAGAAGGAAAGAAGUGUAUGGUAGCUAAUAUCUGCCAUACUUGACGGUACCUUCAAAGGAAGCACCGGCUAACUCCGUGCCAGCAGCCGCGGUAAUACGGAGGGUGCAAGCGUUGUUCGGAAUUACUGGGCGUAAAGCGCGCGUAGGCGGUUUUAUAAGUCAGAUGUGAAAGUCCACGGCUCAACCAUGGAAGUGCAUUUGAAACUGUAAGACUUGAGUAUUGGAGGGGGUAGUGGAAUUCCCGGUGUAGAGGUGAAAUUCGUAGAUAUCGGGAGGAAUACCGGUGGCGAAGGCGACUAUCUGGCCAAAUACUGACGCUGAGGUGCGAAAGCGUGGGGAGCAAACAGGAUUAGAUACCCUAGUAGUC